AAUAUAAACCUCCCUCUGUUCCGUUUUCAUAGUGGUGCAAGGUUUACCUAGAAUAAACCAAUAAGGUCAUAUCAGCCAUCAGAAGAGACGUUGGCGCCUGAUUCAAGCGGAGUUAAGAAAGAGCCCCUAAAUGGGAGCGGCUACGUUUGAGUCGUUUUUGGGGAAAUUGUAAUCGGCGAUUUUACCGAAGAGCACAUUGACACAACUCGAAUGACAACUGUUGGUGGACUGUGCAAUGAUGUGUGUGCUGUUAGUGUUGUUGUGAGUGUUACUCUAGCACCCCCAGAUGGUGAUUUUGUAAAUAGCCAGAACAGUGACAUCACAGGAAGUAGAAAUCAAUGGAUAUUUACAUGGUGCUUGAUGACUGACUGUAAUCCACGUGCAUCUGCCUCCAUCCUUCGUCUUUCGUGGUAUCGUCUUUUCACACUUUCUACAUUAUUAAACCUGUGGACAAAGAGAACUGUCUUCAGUGUGUUAAUGGAAGAAAGGUGUUGAACCUUGCUGCCGGUCCUCUUCUUCGUAGAGCGGAGUGGGAAAGACAGUACAAUGUGAGAGCCAGUCAGGUGGAGCCAGCUGGAACAGGAAGUUGUCUUCUUCGUGGCUUUAGCCCCCAGUAACAUCCGGCCGUUGAUCACGUGACUCAUGUGACGUGAAUAAAGUGUUUCCUUUACAGUUUUGCGAAAUAUCUAUUUCGAGACGGCGGAAAAACCACCUCCUCCCAGCGCGACAACGUUUUUUGUUUUGUUUUUUUUGUUUUAUCGAAAACAGCUGUAUCUACAAUGAACUGCAAUGGAGAGCUGCUCAGAGUGCUGUAUUUUCCACCAGGAGCUGGAACCUGCAGCAAACACUACCACAAGGUGGCGGCUAUGCACCAAAGUCAUCACCACAAGAUUGCACAAUUGGCCCCCUUUAGAGAUUCACUCACCGGGAUGUGGUGGGUGCACAUCACACCUGAUGCAACGAGACGUUGUUUCCUUGCUGGCUGCCGGCAAGAGAGAGCAGAGAGGAUUGGAGAGAGGCCGCUGGAUCGGAGGAUGUAACGACAGGAAGAAUAAACACAUGAAUAAAUAACAGCAAAAGGCAAACCGAGCACAGCCAUCAUUCCGAUUUGGCCGAGCCUCGUUGCCCUGCUCACUCGGUCACUCACAGCUGGGAAAUUCAUGGUAACUUGGUUUAGUUUAGGAGAGGAUGGUAGGGAAAAGUCUCAACGUUGGGCACACCUCGAUGUCGGUAGUCACCAACUGCAUGUGGCAGAUGUCAGCGUUCUGAUUGCUUUUUCCCCAUUUGCAUGCUUUUGUGCACGGAUCAUCAUGUUUAGUUUGAGUAAAAAUUAAAAAAAAGACUACUACUCCCUACUACUAAUUUUGAAUUGGUUCACAUAUUGUUUUGUGUUUUAAAUGUUUUAUGCUCGUCUAGUAUUAAUGUGAGCUGAAUGCCAAAAAUGCAUCCUUUUUUUUGUCUU
Molecule: non-coding RNA, 1462 nt
Organism: Poecilia reticulata (guppy)
Lineage: Eukaryota; Metazoa; Chordata; Actinopteri; Cyprinodontiformes; Poeciliidae
Source: RefSeq, a predicted model, not a curated record